GAGGGUAUAGCUCAAGCAGUAGAGAGCAUGCUUAGCACGCACAAGGUCCUGGGUUCAAUCCCCAGUACCUCCA
Molecule: transfer RNA, 73 nt
Organism: Camelus ferus (Wild Bactrian camel)
Lineage: Eukaryota; Metazoa; Chordata; Mammalia; Artiodactyla; Camelidae
Rfam family: tRNA
About the family: Transfer RNA (tRNA) molecules are approximately 80 nucleotides in length. Their secondary structure includes four short double-helical elements and three loops (D, anti-codon, and T loops).
Source: Rfam